GAUGAAGAACGUAGCGAAAUGCGAUAAGUAAUGUGAAUUGCAGAAUUCAGUGAAUCAUCGAAUCUUUGAACGCACAUUGCGCCCGUCAGUAUUCUGGCGGGCAUGCCUGUUCGAGCGUCAUUACGCCCCUCAAGUCCCCUGUGGACUUGGUGUUGGGGAUCGGCGAGGCUGGUUCUCCAGCACAGCCGUCCCUUAAAUUAAUUGGCGGUCUCGCCGUGGCCCUCCUCUGCGCAGUAGUAAAACACUCGCAACAGGAGCCCGGCGCGGUCCACUGCCGUAAAACCCCCCAACUUUUUAUAGUUGACCUCGAAUCAGGUAGGACUACCCGCUGAACUUAAGCAUAUCAAUAAGCGGAGGA
RNAcentral lists this unclassified non-coding RNA (358 nucleotides) under soil metagenome. RNAcentral's name for it is "partial contains 5.8S ribosomal RNA, internal transcribed spacer 2, and large subunit ribosomal RNA". The stretch from base 1 to 120 matches the Rfam family "5.8S ribosomal RNA", at positions 35 to 154 of the family's 154-position model. The record is from RNAcentral.